GGACCAGACCCAUAGACUGGAGGUAUUGGUUUACAUCCUGGCCAGGGGACCAGACCCAUAGACUGGAGGUAUUAGUUUCCAUCCUGGCCAGGGGACCAGACCCAUAGACUGGAGGAAUUAGUUUCAUACAGGAGAAUGAUCAGAGUCAUGUCUCCACUAUUACAGGAACAGUAUCUAUACAGGAGAAUGAUCAGAGUCAUGUCUCCACUAUUACAGUAACAGUAUCUAUACAGUAGAAUGAUCAGAGUCAUGUCUCCACUAUUACAGGAACAGUAUGUAUACAGGAGAAUGAUCAGAGUCAUGUCUCCACUAUUACAGGAACAGUAUCUAUACAGCAGAAUGAUCAGAGUCAUGUCUCCACUAUUACAGGAACAGUAUCUAUACAGGAGAAUGAUCAGGGUCGUGUCUCCACUAUAACAGGAACAGUAUCUAUACAGGAGAAUGAUCAGAGGCAUGUCUCCAAUGUCCACAUUAGGGAAAGAAGUCACACUUCCUGUUUCCACUCAUCUUUAUUUGACUUGCUGUAAUACAGAGAUACAGGCCGUCUUAAAUCGUACAUUAACUCUCUUAACUUUUCUUCAUUUUGUCUUCAUUGAAAAUGUGUCACGUCCUGACCAUAGUAAGUUGUUAUUUUCUAUGGUAGAGUAGGUCAGGACAUGACAGGGGGUGUUUGUCUGUUUUUGUAUUUCUAUGUUCAGUUUCUAGUUUUGUAUUUCUAUGUUGGUGUUGUUUGGGUUGAUCUCCAAUUGGAGACAGCUGAUCCUCGCUACCUCUAAUUGGAGGUCAUAUUUAAGUUGAUGUUUGUCCCACCUGUUUUUGUGGGUGAUUCAUUUUGAGUAGUGUGUUUUCCUCUCUGCGUCAAGUUUUUUUUUGUUUGUUGUAUUUCUAGUAUUUAGUGUAUAGCAUUUAGUUAUACGGAAUAAAUAAAUAUGUGGAACUUCGAA
This is a long non-coding RNA of Salmo salar (Atlantic salmon), 944 nucleotides long. RefSeq lists it as uncharacterized. Lineage: Eukaryota; Metazoa; Chordata; Actinopteri; Salmoniformes; Salmonidae. The record is from RefSeq and is a predicted model, not a curated record.